Molecule: unclassified non-coding RNA, 988 nt
Filed under: uncultured Bordetella sp.
Lineage: Bacteria; Pseudomonadati; Pseudomonadota; Betaproteobacteria; Burkholderiales; Alcaligenaceae
Description: partial 16S-23S ribosomal RNA intergenic spacer
Rfam family: Bacterial small subunit ribosomal RNA
Source: RNAcentral
GCUAACUACGUGCCAGCAGCCGCGGUAAUACGUAGGGUGCCGUUAAUCGGAAUUACUGGGCGCAAAGCGUGCGCAGGCGGUUCGGAAAAGAAAGAUGUGAACCCCAGAGCUUAACUUUGGAACUGCAUUUUUAACUACCGAGCUAGAGUGUGUCAGAGGGAGGUGGAAUUCCGCGUGUAGCAGUGAAUGCGUAGAUAUGCGGAGGAACGCUGAUGGCGAAGGCAGCCUCCUGGGAUAACACUGACGCUCAUGCACGAAAGCGUGGGGAGCAAACAGGAUUGAUACCCUGGUAGUCCACGCCCUAAACGAUGUCAAUCCGCUGUUGGGGCCUUCGGGCCUUUGGUAGCGCAGCUAACGCGUGAAGUUGACCGCCUGGGGAGUACGGUCGCAAGAUUAAACUCAAAGGAAUUGACGGGGACUCGCACAAGCGGUGGAUGAUGUGGAUUACCCGAUGCAACACGAAAAACCUUACCUACCCUUGACAUGUCUGGAAUCCCGAAGAGAUUUGGGAGUGCUCGCAAGAGAACCGGAACACAGGUGCUGCAUGGCUGUCGUCAGCUCGCCGUGAGAUGCUGGGUUAAGUCUCGCAACGAGCGCAACCCUUGUCAUUAGUUGCUACGAAAGGGCACUCUAUCGAGACUGCCGGUGACAAACCGGAGGAUGGGGAUGACGUCAAGUCCUCAUGGCCCUUUAAGGGUAGGGCUUCACACGUCAUACAAUGGUCGGGACAGAGGGUCGCCAACCCGCGAGGGGGAGCCAAUCCCAGAAACCCGAUCGUAGUCCGGAUCGCAGUCUGCAACUCGACUGCGUGAAGUCGGAAUCGCUAGUAAUCGCGGAUCAGCAUGUCGCGGUGAAUACGUUCCCGGGUCUUGUACACACCGCCCGUCACACCAUGGGAGUGGGUUUUACCAGAAGUAGUUAGCCUAACCGUAAGGAGGGCGAUUACCACGGUAGGAUUCAUGACUGGGGUGAAGUCGUAACAAGGUAA